RNAcentral lists this ribosomal RNA (478 nucleotides) under uncultured bacterium. Its description in RNAcentral is "partial 16S ribosomal RNA". It matches the Rfam family "Bacterial small subunit ribosomal RNA", at positions 28 to 507 of the family's 1533-position model. The record is from RNAcentral.
GAUGAACGCUGGCGGCGUGCCUAACACAUGCAAGUCGAACGGAGUCCAGCCUUUAAGACCUUCGGGUCAAAGAGGGGAAGACUGAGUGGCGGACGGGUGAGUAACACGUGGGCAACCUGGCUCAUAGAGGGGGAUAACAGAGAGAAAUUUCUGCUAAUACCGCAUAAGCACACACUGCCGCAUGGCAGAGGGUGAAAAGAGAAUCGCUAUGAGAUGGACCCGCGUCUGAUUAGCCAGUUGGCAGGGUAAGAGCCUACCAAAGCGACGAUCAGUAGCCGAUCUGAGAGGAUGAACGGCCACAUUGGGACUGAGACACGGCCCAAACUCCUACGGGGGGCAGAAGUGGGGGAUAUUGCACAAUGGGGGGAACCCUGAUGCAGCGACGCCGCGUGAGUGAAGAAGUAUUUCGGUAUGUAAAGCUCUAUCAGCAGGGAAGAUAAUGACAGUACCUGAAGAAGAAGCCCCGGCUAACUACGUG